AUGCGAUAAGUAAUGUGAAUUGCAGAAUUCAGUGAAUCAUCGAAUCUUUGAACGCACCUUGCGCCCUUUGGUAUUCCGAAGGGCAUGCCUGUUUGAGUGUCAUGAAACCUCACCCCACUUGGGUUUUUGCCUGAGCGGUGGUGUAUUGGGUGUUGCCUUGCCAAAGGCUCGCCUUAAAAACAUAAGCACCUUGGAUGUAAUACGUUUCAUCCUUCUGGGUGGCUGAUAACCCCACAUAUUCAUGAUCUGGCCUCAAAUCAGGUAGGGCUACCCGCUGAACUUAA
Molecule: unclassified non-coding RNA, 284 nt
Filed under: uncultured Vishniacozyma
Lineage: Eukaryota; Fungi; Basidiomycota; Tremellomycetes; Tremellales; Bulleribasidiaceae
Description: partial contains 5.8S ribosomal RNA, internal transcribed spacer 2, and large subunit ribosomal RNA
Rfam family: 5.8S ribosomal RNA (bases 1-102)
Source: RNAcentral